GACGAACGCUAGCGGCGUGCCUAAGGUAUGCAAGUCGAACGGGGAGCUUCGGCUCCCAGUGGCGAACGGUCGAGUAACACGUAGACAAUCUGCCUCCUGGUGGGGGAUAACCCGCGGGAAACUGCGGCUAAAUACCGCAAUGAGGCGACUCCGGGCAUCCGGGGUCUGCUAAAAGGAGCAAAUUCGCCGGGAGAUGAGUCUGCGGCCUAUCAGCUAGUUGGUGGGGUAACGGCCUACCAAGGCGACGACGGGUAGCUGGUCUGAGAGGAUGAUCAG
This 276-nucleotide ribosomal RNA is filed under the name uncultured bacterium. RNAcentral describes it as "partial 16S ribosomal RNA". It matches the Rfam family "Bacterial small subunit ribosomal RNA", at positions 28 to 307 of the family's 1533-position model. The record is from RNAcentral.